CCUACGGGUGGCAGCAGUGAGGAAUAUUGGUCAAUGGGCGAGAGCCUGAACCAGCCAAGCCGCGUGAAGGAUGAAGGCUCUAUGGUUUGUAAACUUCUUUUAUAUGGGAGUAAAGUUAGUAACGUGUUACUUUUUGUAUGUACCAUAUGAAUAAGCAUCGGCUAACUCCGUUCCAGCAGCCGCGGUAAUACGGAGGAUGCGAGCGUUAUCCGGAUUUAUUGGGUUUAAAGGGUACGUAGGUGGUUAAUUAAGUCAGAGGUGAAAGUUUGGGGCUCAACCAUAAAAUUGCCGUUGAUACUGGUUGACUUGAGUAUAGUUGAGGUAGGUGGAAUGCGUGGUGUAGCGGUGAAAUGCGUAGAGAUCACGAAGAACACCGAUUGCGAAGGCAGCUUACUAAACUAUAACUGACACUGAAGCGCGAAAGCGUGGGGAGCAAACAGGAUUAGAUACCCUUGUAGUC
Molecule: ribosomal RNA, 460 nt
Filed under: uncultured bacterium
Lineage: Bacteria
Description: partial 16S ribosomal RNA
Rfam family: Bacterial small subunit ribosomal RNA
Source: RNAcentral